Molecule: non-coding RNA, 173 nt
Organism: Sporosarcina sp. P33
Lineage: Bacteria; Bacillati; Bacillota; Bacilli; Caryophanales; Caryophanaceae
Source: Rfam
UCCAUUGUGAGAUGGAAUCUGAAGGAAGCCUACGGCAAAAUCCCGAACUGACGAACAGAAAUUGUAUAUAAGGCUGAAUUGGAACGGACGAGUUUGCGAAACCUAACGAAGUCCGAUACUGCCCGAAUUCCAUACAGUAGAUACAACAGUUACAUGGGAGGAAGGUUGUAGCA